Molecule: ribosomal RNA, 1443 nt
Filed under: metagenome
Description: bacterial SSU rRNA
Rfam family: Bacterial small subunit ribosomal RNA
Source: RNAcentral
AGAGUUUGAUUCUGGCUCAGGACGAACGCUGGCGGCGUGCUUAAUACAUGCAAGUCGAACGGUUAAAGCUCAUUUCGGUGAGUGUAUAAAGUGGCGAACGGGUGAGUAACGCGUAAGAAACCUACCUAUGAGUGAGGAAUACCUAUUGGAAACAGUAGUUAAUACCUCAUAUCUCAACUAAAGGCAUCUUUGGUUGACUAAAGAUUUAUCGUUCAUAGAUGGUCUUGCGUCUGAUUAGUUAGUUGGUGAGGUAAUGGCUCACCAAGGCAACGAUCAGUAGCUGGUCUGAGAGGAUGAUCAGCCACAUUGGGACUGAGAUACGGCCCAGACUCCUACGGGAGGCAGCAGUAGGGAGUAUUGGUCAAUGGACGCAAGUCUGAACCAGCAACGCCGCGUGAGGGAUGAAGCAUCUAGGUGUGUAAACCUCUGUCAGAAGGGAAGAAAAAGUUUUACGGAACAAUUGACGGUACCUUCAGAGGAAGCUCCGGCUAACUUCGUGCCAGCAGCCGCGGUAAUACGAGGGGAGCAAGCGUUGUCCGGAAUCAUUGGGCGUAAAGAGCAUGUAGGCGGCUUGUUAAGUUAGGGGUGAAAGUUUGCGGCUUAACCGUAAAAUUGCCUUUAAUACUGGCAGGCUUGAGUGCAGAAGAGGAAAGUGGAAUUCCUGGUGUAGCGGUGAAAUGUGUAGAUAUCAGGAAGAACACCGGUAGCGAAGGCGGCUUUCUGGUCUGCAACUGACGCUGAGAUGCGAAAGUGUGGGGAGCGAACAGGAUUAGAUACCCUGGUAGUCCACACCGUAAACGAUGGAUACUAGAUGUUAGAGGUUCGUCGCUUCUAGUGUCGCAGCUAACGCGUUAAGUAUCCCGCCUGGGGAGUACGCUCGCAAGAGUGAGACUCAAAGGAAUUGACGGGGGCCCGCACAAGCGGUGGAGCAUGUGGUUUAAUUCGAUGCAACGCGAAAAACCUUACCUAGACUUGACAUCCAGAGAAUUUUUAGAAAUAAAAAGUGCCCGCAAGGGAAUUCUGAGACAGGUGAUGCAUGGCUGUCGUCAGCUCGUGUCGUGAGAUGUUGGGUUAAGUCCCGCAACGAGCGCAACCCCUAUCAUUAGUUGCCAUCAAGUUAUGUUGGGCACUCUAGUGAGACUGCCGGUGACAAACCGGAGGAAGGUGGGGAUGACGUCAAGUCAGUAUGUCCCUUACGUCUAGGGCUACACACGUGCUACAAUGGUAAGUACAAAGAGUUGCAAGACUGUGAAGUGGAGCUAAUCUCAAAAAACUUAUCUCAGUUCGGAUCGUAGUCUGCAAUUCGACUACGUGAAGUUGGAAUCGCUAGUAAUCGCGAAUCAGCGUGUCGCGGUGAAUACGUUCCCGGGCCUUGUACACACCGCCCGUCAAGCCAUGGAAGCUGGUCACGCCCGAAGUAGUUACCCUAACCUUUCGGGGGGG